This 200-nucleotide ribosomal RNA is filed under the name uncultured bacterium. RNAcentral describes it as "partial 16S ribosomal RNA". It matches the Rfam family "Bacterial small subunit ribosomal RNA", at positions 28 to 226 of the family's 1533-position model. The record is from RNAcentral.
GAUGAACGCUGGCGGCGUGCUUAACACAUGCAAGUCGAACGGUGAAGCAGGAGCUUGCUCCUGUGGAUCAGUGGCGAACGGGUGAGUAACACGUGAGCAAUCUGCCCUGGACUCUGGGAUAAGCGUUGGAAACGACGUCUAAUACCGGAUACGAGACGCGAAGGCAUCUUCAGCGUCUGGAAAGAACUUCGGUCCAGGAU